AGCAGCCGCGGUAAUUCCAGCUCCAAUAGCGUAUAUUAAAGUUGUUGCAGUUAAAAGCUCGUAGUUGAAUUUCGAGAUCAGUACGCUGGUCGUGCCUUCGGUAUGUACUGGUGUCACUGGUUUCUCCCUUCUGAAGAACCGUUAUGUCAUUAAGUUGGUGUGGCGGGGAAUCAGGACUGUUACUUUGAAAAAUUAGAGUGUUUAAAGCAGGCUCGCGCUUGAAUACAUUAGCAUGGAAUAAUGAAAUAGGACGUUUGACCCUAUUUUGUUGGUUUCUAGGAUCGACGUAAUGAUUAAUAGGGAUAGUUGGGGGCAUUAGUAUUCAAUUGUCAGAGGUGAAAUUCUUGGAUUUAUUGAAGACUAACUACUGCGAAAGCAUUUGCCAAGGAUGUUUUCAUUAAUCAAGAACGAAAGUUAGGGGAUCGAAGACGAUCAGAUACCGUCGUAGUCUUAACCAUAAACUAUGCCGACUAGGGAUCGGAUGAUGUUAAUUUUUAAUGUACUCA
RNAcentral lists this ribosomal RNA (506 nucleotides) under uncultured Glomeraceae. RNAcentral's name for it is "SSU rRNA". It matches the Rfam family "Eukaryotic small subunit ribosomal RNA", at positions 569 to 1078 of the family's 1831-position model. Lineage: Eukaryota; Fungi; Glomeromycota; Glomeromycetes; Glomerales; Glomeraceae. The record is from RNAcentral.